Molecule: long non-coding RNA, 6924 nt
Organism: Loxodonta africana (African savanna elephant)
Lineage: Eukaryota; Metazoa; Chordata; Mammalia; Proboscidea; Elephantidae
Exons: 6
Source: RefSeq, a predicted model, not a curated record
UCUAGGUCAUUGCUGUUAUGGACACUAGUCCUCUACUCCAGGAAUUAGUAUAUUUUACACAGUGAGGGUACAUCUGAAGCCCAACAGAAUCCCUUGAUGCUGGAAGACAUAAGUGGUCUUUCUCUUAGGAUAACUCAUUUUCACCCAUUUCCCCAGAGUUUGGUAUACAUCUUUUGAGUAGUGGCAAGGUAACAGAACUAAUGCUAGCAUUGUCUCAAUGCAAAGUUAAGGGUUUUGGGUUCAGACCAGAGAUAUUUUUUCUUACCUCUUGUUGUGGACUGAAUUAUGUCUCCCCAAAAGCUAUGUUGAAGUUGUAACCCCUGUGCCUGUAAAUAUAAUCCUGUUUAGAAUUAGGGUUUUUCUUUGGUUAUGUUAAUGAGAUCUUAUCAGAGUGGGGUGGGUCCUAAACCUAAUCCUUUCUGGGUGAUGUCUUAUAAAAGAGCAGAAUAGACAUAGACACACACAGGGGGAGACAAAGGCCAUGUGACAAUGGAGACAGAUAUAUCUACAAGCCCAGGAGCAACAAAGAUUGUCCUUCUAGGAGCUGAAAGAGACAUACAACUUUUCCCUAAAGCCAAGACCCUAAAUUUGGACCUCUAGUCUCCUGAACUGUGAGACAAUAAAUUUACGUUCUUUAAAGUCACCCACUUUGUGGUAUCUUUGUUAUAGCAAUGCUAGGAAACUAAGACACUUCCUAAUUCAAACACAGGUUCCCAGAGUGGUAACGGGAGGGCCCCCAAGUGUAUUUGUGCCAGCGUGGAGGGUUACGGAUUCUGAUAGGGUUGGUUUUGAUGUUCCCCACAUUAUAUAAUGACAACACACUACUAGGAUGUCUUCGCAUGGGAACAUCACAGUAAAGAAUAAAGCUCCAUGAGAUCAUAAAAUGUAAAAUGACGUAAACCCACAGCAGGGCGGCUACUUGGAGAGGAGCUACCUUCCAUGAGCUGCUCAUCUCUGGAAUAUGGUGAUGUCACCCUGGGAUGACAGUUUUAUAGCAGAACCUCUACCUCCACCAGGUACCUCGAGGAAUCAGCUAAAAAUAUUUCUUUGGAGGCGGGGCCAAGAUGGCUGACUAGGUAGAAGCUACCUUGGAUCCUCUUGCAACAAAGACUCGGAAAAACAAGUUAAUCGAUCACAUACAUGACAAUCUAUGAACCCUGACCAUCAAACACAGAUCUAAAGAGUUGACCUGAGUGACAGAGACUGAGAACGAACAACCACGGGGAAGACGCGACUGUUUUCAGAGCCUGGAGCCAGCAUCCCAGUCAGGAAACCUUGCCGCCGGGCUUUGGACUGGGCGCAGGGGAGCUGAGCAGGGCAUCCUGUGAGGGCGCAAACACGGGAGGCAGCCCUACCCCCCUGAACUGACCUCGGGAGAAGCCCAGCCAGUGCACGCAGGCAGCACAGCAAAGCGGCUGACAGGAGGAGAAGUCACCGGGAGGCAGCGACUGGUUUUGGAGCCGGGAGUGCGGCGUCCCAGCUGGGAAACCUUGGCACUGGGCUUUGGAUUGGAAGCGGAGGAACUAACCACGGCUUCUGAGACAGCACAAGCACGGGACGUGGGCCUGACCCUUGGGGGAAUCUCUACCCAGCCAGGACACACAGUCGACACACCCUCCUUGGGAAUCUCAGAUAAAACAGUCAUCCCAAGCAAGAUAAGUAACUUCGUCUAUAUUCUGGGGUGCUACUUUCUCCUAUUUAUCUGAACCCUCCCUGCCCCUUCCCAGGAGGCUUUAUUAAUAUUGGAGAGAACUGGGCUGUGCUUAUUAUUUUUUUUUUCUUUCCUUUCUUUUUUUUUUGGUCUUUUCCUAACCCAUUCUCCUGACCUGAGAGAAGCAGCUACAAAAAACCCAGGGACCAAAAAUCCUUCCCUAAUUGGAGUAAAAACACAGAACCAGCUCCAGUCAAGCAUAUGUGAUCCACAGUCUUGGGCUUUCAUCCCUACAGGGAACAAGGGGAGCUAUUUCCAGCUGUGGCCAUGUGAGAGGUUGGUGAUUCCUCUCUUCAAGAAAAGAAAAAAGUACAAAACUGGACAAGAUUAUCGAAAACAACAAUUUCAAGAAACUGGAAAUCAACCAGAGGCAGAUACCAAAUUGAGCCGUUUAUUCUUUAAAAACUGCUGGAACUUCAGUUCACUUUACCAGGGGAAGAACAGUGUUGGAGAUGGAUAACGAAGGAGAUAUAGAGCCAGAGAGUGUUGAAAGUAGUGCUCAUUAUCACUUAUUAUUUUUCCAAGGUGUUCAAUGGACCUACUCUAACCAAGGAGCCUACUUCUAUUUGCUCUUAGAUGAAAGGCUUGGACUGAAAAUGCUAAGUGGCAUUUGAAUGUAUCAUCUGAACUCAUCAGAAACCUGGGAGCAGAGAGCAGGUUGUUGGAUGCCCACAGAAGCAGUGGACAAGAAGUCAAACGAUGUAUUGCAUCGGGCAAAUCUGCUGCAAAAGACCUCUUUAAAGUUAAAAAGCAAAGGUGUCAUCUUGAAGACUAAGGUGUGUGGCCAAAGCCAUGCAUGGUAUUUUCAACCGCCUCAUAUGUAUGCGAAAGCUGGAUGAUGAAUAAGACUGAAGAAGAAUUGAUGUCUUUGAAUUGUGGCGUUGGUGAAGAAUAUCGAGUAUACCGUGGAUUGGCAAAAGAAUGCACACAUCUGUCUUGGAAGAAGUACAACCAGAAUGCUCCUUAGAGGCAAGGAUGGCGAGACUUCAUCUCACAUAACUUGGACAUGUUAUCAGAGGGGACCAGUCUCUGGAGAAGAGCAUCAUGCUUGGUAAAGGUCAGCGAAAGAAAGGAAGACCUUUUACGAGAUGGAUUGACAUGGCAUCUGCAACAAUGAGCUCAAGCAUAUCAGUGAUUGCGAGGAUGGUGCAGGACUCUGCAGUGUUUUGUUCUGUUGCACAUAGGGUCACUAUGACUCAGAACCGACUUGAGGGCACCUAACAACAACAAUAUAAUAUUGUUAUUGAUGUUGAUUAGUAGGUAAGGAUGAUGACAAAAACAACAGUAACUUUACAGGUCAGGUCAGGAGAAAACUUUUUUCCUUUUAAUAAUUUAUUUUAUUUUUUGUUGAAAAUAUACACAGCAAAACAUACACAAAUUCGACAAUUUCUGCAUGUACAAUUCAGUAACAUUAAUUACACUCUACAAUAUGUACAACAAUUUUUGCUGUCCUUUUUCAAAUUGUUCCUCCUCCAUUAACAUAAACUCACUGCCCCCUAAGCUUCUUAGCUAACCUUUUGAGUUGCUAUUGUCGAUUUGAUCCGAUUUAGAUAAUUCUUUAAAAGAACACCAUACUGAAGGCAGACAUUCUAGAAGAGUUUUUUUUUUUCCUUUUUUGGGGGAGUGUGUAUAAAAGAGAUAGGAAAGCAGCUGUGGCAGGUAAGGAACAUGGAUAUGAGGUUCAGGAAACUCAAGUGUGGCAGGAACUACUAUAGGGUUAGCCAUUUGACACCCUGUCUAGCCUCCUUGGAGUCCUGGUGAUACAGUGGUUAAGAGCUCAGGCUACUAACCAAAAGGUUGGCAGUUCAAAUCCACCAGCCACUCCUUGGAAAUCCUAUGGGGUGUUGCUACUGUGUCCUGUAGGCCACUAUGAGUGGGAAUUGACUCGACGGCAAUGGGUUUGGCUUUUUUUUUGGUCUAGCCUCCUCAUCUCUUGCUUUCCUCUAGCACAGAGGCUGGAAACCAUGUGGCCUGUUAUAUUAUUUACUUACUAAAUGGUUUCAUAUGCUUCUUAAUAAAUUUUCUCAUUGGGACAACCACAUUUGAUUUUUGAGAAUGAAAAAUCAGUUAUCUUUACACUCCUGCUGAAGGAAUGUUGAACAAAUAUUUAAAUAAUCUUCCUUUGAAGGGGAACUAAAUUUAUUAUCCUCCCUUGUCCUGACACUGGAUCUCAGGUUCCAGCUAAUUCCUACAUCAUGGAUUGAGGUGUUUCUGACAUCUGAAGAGACAGCGUGGACUUCCGGUUGAUAACAUAUGAUCCAGCUAUUGAUGGCGCUUCCUAGAGCUGACCGAGGCAGGGGUUCAGCUCAUUCUUCCAGGAAUCAGCACAUGAGACAGUUUCUUCCAGGACUCCAGCCUAUUACUGUGGGUUUUGGAGUCUGACCCAGGAAGCGGAGGAAGCAGCUCCAGUUCACAUGAUAUAGAUGUCCUGGGAGUGGGGAGGGUAGACCGUCCUGCUCAUGGAGAAGAGAGAGACUGUUUUCCAUGACACCACCUUGUAGUUUAUCUGAUGGGUGUACAAAUACAUUCAAUCAGUUAUUAACUCAGAAUUCAGUCUUGAAAGCAAACAUGGCUAAGUGCUUAUCUAGCUCUGCUAUGACUAAGGUUAAAUAUCUUUAAACAGGCGGGUGGGUCAGUACAGGAUGCAAAUAAGCCAAAGAUCUGAAUUGCACAAAGAGAAUAACUAUGCUACUGAUCCAAACUUGGCCGCAUUGCACACUGUUGUUUAAUAGAAUUGACUCAUAGCAGCUGUGGUCAUUUCCAAGCGGUCCAAGGAUUGGAUAGAGAGGCAGGAAGCUCAUGGUGUAUGAUGGUCACCUAAAUUGGAAUGGAAUGGCACCUCAAGUGCUUUAACUCUCUCUCAAACAUACUCACGUGUCUUGGUCCUUUGAGACACUGAGGUUCAUUGGCACAUAGGUACCCUUUUGCUGAUUAGCCUCAGUCUUGAUAGCAGAUCAUGAUUCUGGCCUGGGUCUGGAUGCUGAGGACUGGUGUUCUGUUAAAUAUAGUACACCACUUGGGGAUCCUGCUUUAGAGUGAAAGAGGAGGAGCCCUGAGGACUCUUUGCUUAAGCAUUGGGCUGCUAGCUGAAAAGUUGGUGGGUCAACCCAUCCAGUGGCUCAGUGGGAGAAAAGACCUGGCGAUCUGUUCCCACAAAGAUUACAGCCGAGAAAACACUAUGGAGUAGCUCUACUUUGCCACAUUAGGUCACUAUGAGUUGAAAAUCAACUUGAUGGCACCUAACAAGAACAACAAUGGUGAAGGGGCUGGUUUUUAGAAUGGAGGCAAGGAGAGGGCUAGCAAACUGAUUCAGGACUCACAUCUGGAGAUUGCCCGAGGUAUGUCAUGCAUCAGGAUUGGUGCUUAUUGGGCAUCACAUUAUUUUGCAAAGGAAUAUUGCUGGUCCUGGGUAAAUCCUAAAGAAUUAAAUUUUGACUUGGGACAUCUUAGUAGAUCCCUUGCAGAAGUGAAUUUCUGAAGACAAUGAACUUUAAGCAAAUAUACCUUUCAGCAGGUCUGUCUUUAGACAAGGCAGGGCCCAGUGCAGGAGUCCAAAUUGAGGCCCAAAUAUCAUAUGACGAAAUAACAAAAGGCAGCAGUUGUGUUUCAGUGGUUGAUUUUGCCUUUUAUGCGGAAGACCCAGGUUUGAUUCCGGGCCAGUGCACCUCAUGUGCAGCUACCACCCAUCCGUCAGUGGAGGGUUGUGUGUUGCUAUAAUGCUGACCAGGUUUCAGCAGAGCUUCAAGACUAAGGUGGACUAGGAAGAAAGGCCAUUGAAAAUCCUGUGGGUCACAACUGUCCAAUCCUCAGAUGAUCAUGGGAAUGACACAGGACAGGGCAGCAUUUCAUUCUGUUGAGCAUGGUGUUUCCAUGAGUCUGGGGCCAACUGGAUAGCAGCUAACCAGUAGUACAAAUUAUAACUCAGGCUAACAAUCUUUUAAAUAAAAUUCGUUCUGUCUUCCUACCUUGACAAAUACACCUUUAUAAUGACCUGGGAGACCAGGUUCAAACUUAUAAUUCUCAGACUUCUUAGAAUUCUGUGCUAAAAUGAGGCAGCUUAGCGAGAGCUGGCCCUAGCCCCUUCCUGCUCCCCUUUCUCCUCACCACCAGCACAGUCUUGUGCUGAGAGGGGUUUCACCAAACUUCUAAGCUGUGUCCCUAGUCUCUAAAUACAGCAGCCCCUUAGUGGAGCCUUUGGCAUCUUGCAAGCCAAUGGCCGGAGUGAUCCGGUGAGGAGUCCUGGAAGCAGGCUCAAAGAAGUUUGGCUGGGGAGUUCCAGAGCCCCAGAUAUCCAAGGGGCCAUGAUGGUUCAGUGGUAGAAUUUUUGCCUUCUUUUUUUUUUUUAUAUGGGAGACCCGAAAACUCUGGUGGUGUGGGGGUUAAGAGCUACGGCUGCUAGCCAAAAGGUCUGCUAGCCAAAAGGUCGGCAGUUAGAAUACACCAGGCACUCCUUGGAAACUCUGUGGGGUAGUUCUACUCUGUCCUAUAGGGUCUGUAUGAGCUGGAAUUGACUUGAUGGCAAAGGCUUUGUUUUUGUUGUUGUUGUUGUGUUUAAAGAAUACUCCAGGGGGUAUUUUUCAUUUAAGGUUAACUCAGGGCAAUAGUCUCAGUAUUAAUCCAGCUUCAGUGGCUCCAGAAAUCCUAUAUUCCAUGAGAAUUUCAAAUUCCAUUCCACGUCCCCCCCCCCCAUAAGGAUUCUUCUAUAGAAUCUUUGAUCAAAAUGUUCAUAAUGGUAGUUGGGCACCAUUCAGUUCUUCUGGUCUCAAGGCAAAGGAGACAAUUGUUCAUGGAAGCAAUUAGGUAUUGUUGCACUCCACCAGACUAGCAGCAGGAGUGGCUCUGGGGCCACAGAUUGGAUUCUGAAAAAAGAGGCAGAAAAAGUCAGGUUGAUGAGAUCUAGCUUUUAUUUGGGAACUUACAGAUAGAGGUUGGUGCCAAGAGUCUUGUGACAGACAAUGACAAACAGAGUUACCCUGAUAGAGGUCCACAUAGGGCAGUAUGUGGUGGGGUUUUAUAUAUAUAGUGCUUACUUACAUUUAUACCAAGGAUAUGUGCAGGGGGACCAGGAAAAACAUGUCUGAUCUAUGAUGGAUAAGGUCAUUUUUGUACUGGUUAAUCUGUUCUAAUUGACAUUCACAUGAAGUCAGGAAUUAGGUGUGUUUUUUCCUGGCCAGGUCGCUGCUCAGUCAGGUACUCUUGUUCUCCCCCAGAGU